AUCGGAGCUUGUUUGAGAAGUUUCAUGGUAAAAGGAUACAGCUACAUAUAUAGGGGGUGUUUGGCCUAGCUUUUAAAAAGCGCUUUUGGGCUGAAAAGUGAUUUUCGGCUUAAUAGAGCGUUUGGCAACUCACUUUUAAAAUCUGAUUCUACUUUUUAGAAUCAGAAAACUGAUUUUGAAGACCUCAGAAUCAGAAGCAGAAAAAAGCUGCUUCUUGAAAACUGAUUCUGAUUUUGGAUUUAAACUUCAAAAUUUUAUUUUUAUUUUAGUUUUAAUAUUUAAAUUUAAUUUUAAUUUUAAAUUUUAAAUUUUAUUUUUCAGAUUCAUUUUAAAAUUUUUAAAUUUUAACUUUUAAAUUUUAAAAUUU
Molecule: long non-coding RNA, 367 nt
Filed under: Ananas comosus (pineapple)
Lineage: Eukaryota; Viridiplantae; Streptophyta; Magnoliopsida; Poales; Bromeliaceae
Description: long non-coding RNA (ACOM_LNC016115)
Source: RNAcentral